RNAcentral lists this long non-coding RNA (339 nucleotides) under Cyanistes caeruleus (blue tit). RNAcentral's name for it is "lncRNA (ENSCCEG00000022306.1)". Lineage: Eukaryota; Metazoa; Chordata; Aves; Passeriformes; Paridae. The record is from RNAcentral.
GCGAUGUCAGAGUCGUUUCCCCUGUCACCAGGAGGGGUGACCCCCAUCCAGCAGGGAGCUGGGUGCUGCUGAGCACCUCCCCAGCCCCUGGGGGACGAGAAGCAGCAAGAGCAGUUAAUUCUCCACCUGGCAUGAGAACACUUCUCUCCUUUCCAGCACCGAGGAGAAAUCCAGAGUAAUCCUAUUUUUGGUCUGGCUGAUAAUUGCACUCUUGCUGGCUGCAUAUUGAUGAACAGCGUUUUCAACAUCCCUAAUGAAUUUUUAUCAACAAGCACAAGGGGUUGUGUCUGCUGGCAGAGGUUUUUUAGCACUCCUCAGAGGCAUUUGAUGAGUGGAUGA